Long non-coding RNA from Prosopis cineraria, 1104 nucleotides. RefSeq lists it as uncharacterized. Lineage: Eukaryota; Viridiplantae; Streptophyta; Magnoliopsida; Fabales; Fabaceae. The record is from RefSeq and is a predicted model, not a curated record. The transcript has 3 exons.
ACGUCUGUAGAAAAUCCAACAAACAAGAAGGGAUCAUCAGAGUCUCACAUGAGAAGAAGAAAGCCAAACGUAGCCACAGGAUUGACUUGCCGGGAAAUCAAUUCCCACCGGAUCAAUGCAAGCUUCUAUUAUGAGCUUGCUUCGCCGGCAAGUCAUCCUUGGCUCCAUUCCACUCUCCUCCUCUUCAUGAAAAACUCGCCGACCACACAUUAACCUCAAAUGGUGGUUUCUUCACAAUUCUUUUGUCCUUCUCACAUCUAUCUCUCUGUCUCAUGCUAUAUCUUGCUUGAUUGACGCCACGGUAUAUAUUGGCAGUGGAGCUAGUGGGAAAUAAUUAGUGAUUCUCUUGGAGGGUCCCCAAUAUUCUCAAUUCGACCCACCAUUCAAAAAUUAGUCGGAAGAGGCGAGUGGCUAUUGUUUCUUUUAAAAAGGCAAUCAUGAAUACUGCAUUCUAUCUGUUCGAUGAAAAGCAUCACUUUUGUCGAUGUAUUCCGAUUUCUUCUGGGGUCUUCACUCGCCACCCGUCGUUUACUCAUCGGGCUUCAUUGCUGGAUUCCCCUGUUGUGGGCAUAGAAUCUUGCAAAAGAUGAGUGGUCACCUUAGAAUGCCCAUAAUAUUUGGAUAGGUCAAAGGCUCAGAUGGUAUGGCUCCCACGUCUCGUUAGCUUUGAAUUUUGAAUCAUGCAGAGUCUAAAUUCAGUGAGAAGUUACAAGGGAAAGUGACUGAAGCAGCCACAAGACUGUGAUGGGAAUUAGAAGGCGAAAAGGGUAAGAAGAUAUGGGAGACCUCUUUCUAGAAUUGACACGUUAAGGAGGCAUGAGAUUGCUAAGAAUGUGAUACUGUUACAGAAUAACUUUAUCCAGAAAACGGUGGUUCAGAACAAAGUAAAGAAGGGAGAUCAUUGUUAUUGCUGCUUGUGGCUGGUGCAUUUUGUCCAGAAACAGAUCUCUCAGAAUAAUGUAGCAUCUUAUGGGCAAAACUUUAGAUAUGAAUAUGUAUUGAUAAUUGAAAUAUGAAUUACUAAUAUAUUCGAUGCGUUGACUGCAAUUUAUAUCAGCAUGACAUGACACUACAUUUUGAAUAAGAAUAACCGCACUUGCUUUA